Molecule: transfer RNA, 72 nt
Filed under: Trichoderma reesei QM6a
Lineage: Eukaryota; Fungi; Ascomycota; Sordariomycetes; Hypocreales; Hypocreaceae
Also listed under: 2 other names
Description: tRNA-His (GTG) (tRNA-His-GTG-3-1, tRNA-His-GTG-3-2)
Rfam family: tRNA
About the family: Transfer RNA (tRNA) molecules are approximately 80 nucleotides in length.
Source: RNAcentral
GCUUCUGUAGUAUAACGGUCAGUACAACAGUUUGUGGCACUGUAGAUCCAGGUUCGAUUCCUGGCAGGGGCA